AGAGUUUGAUCCUGGCUCAGGACGAACGCUGGCGGCGUGCCUAAUACAUGCAAGUCGAGCGCAGGAAGCUCACGGAACUCUUCGGAGGGAAGUGAAGGGAAUGAGCGGCGGACGGGUGAGUAACACGUAAGGAACCUGCCCCAAGGAUUGGGAUAACUCCGAGAAAUCGGAGCUAAUACCGAAUAGUUCUUCAGACCGCAUGGUCUGAUGAUGAAAGGCGCUUCGGCGUCACCUUGGGAUGGCCUUGCGGUGCAUUAGCUAGUUGGUGGGGUAAUGGCCCACCAAGGCGACGAUGCAUAGCCGACCUGAGAGGGUGAUCGGCCACACUGGGACUGAGACACGGCCCAGACUCCUACGGGAGGCAGCAGUAGGGAAUCUUCCACAAUGGACGAAAGUCUGAUGGAGCAACGCCGCGUGAGUGAUGAAGGUUUUCGGAUCGUAAAACUCUGUUGUAAGGGAAGAACAAGUACGAGAGGUAAUGCUCGUACCUUGACGGUACCUUGCGA
This 506-nucleotide ribosomal RNA is filed under the name uncultured Actinomycetes bacterium. RNAcentral's name for it is "bacterial SSU rRNA". It matches the Rfam family "Bacterial small subunit ribosomal RNA", at positions 8 to 485 of the family's 1533-position model. Lineage: Bacteria; Bacillati; Actinomycetota; Actinomycetes. The record is from RNAcentral.